Molecule: ribosomal RNA, 1018 nt
Filed under: uncultured bacterium
Lineage: Bacteria
Description: bacterial SSU rRNA
Rfam family: Bacterial small subunit ribosomal RNA
Source: RNAcentral
AGAGUUUGAUCCUGGCUCAGGAUGAACGCUAGCUACAGGCUUAACACAUGCAAGUCGAGGGGCAUCAUGGAGUUUGCUUGCAAACUCUGAUGGCGACCGGCGCACGGGUGAGUAACGCGUAUCCAACCUUCCCAUGACUCCGGUUCAGCCCGCCGAAAGGCGGAUUACUCCCGGAUGGUUUCCGAAGAGGGCAUCUGAUUUGGAAUAAAGAUUGAUCGGUCAUGGAUGGGGAUGCGUCUGAUUAGGCAGCAGGCGGGGUAACGGCCCACCUGGCCUACGAUCAGUAGGGGUUCUGAGAGGAAGGUCCCCCACACUGGAACUGAGACACGGUCCAGACUCCUACGGGAGGCAGCAGUGAGGAAUAUUGGUCAAUGGGCGAGAGCCUGAACCAGCCAAGUAGCGUGCAGGAUGACGGCCCUAUGGGUUGUAAACUGCUUUUAUAUGAGGAUAAAGUUCGUUACGUGUAACGUUUUGCAGGUAUCAUAUGAAUAAGGACCGGCUAAUUCCGUGCCAGCAGCCGCGGUAAUACGGAAGGUCCGGGCGUUAUCCGGAUUUAUUGGGUUUAAAGGGAGCGCAGACGGUCAGUUAAGCGUGCAGUUAAAUGAUGUGGCUCAACCAUGUUAUGCUGCGCGAACUGGCUGACUUGAGUUCACGGAACGUGGGCGGAAUUUGUGGUGUAGCGGUGAAAUGCUUAGAUAUCACGAAGAACUCCGAUUGCGAAGGCAGCCCGCGGCAGUGUUACUGACGUUCAUGCUCGAAGGUGCGGGUAUCGAACAGGAUUAGAUACCCUGGUAGUCCGCACGGUAAACGAUGGAUGCUCGCUGUCGGCGAUACAUUGUCGGCCGCCUAGUGAAAGCAUUAAGCAUCCCACCUGGGAGUACGCCGGCAACGUGAAACUCCAAGGAAUUGACCGGGGCCCCCCCCAGCCGAAAGAACUUGUGGUUUUAUUUCCAUUAAUCCCCAAGAAACCUUACCCGGGGUUUGAAAUUGCAGGUUUUUGAAUCAAAAAAUGGUCCUU